Molecule: ribosomal RNA, 496 nt
Filed under: uncultured bacterium
Lineage: Bacteria
Description: partial 16S ribosomal RNA
Rfam family: Bacterial small subunit ribosomal RNA
Source: RNAcentral
GAUGAACGCUGGCGGCGUGCCUAAUACAUGCAAGUCGAGCGAACGGACGAGAAGCUGCCUCCCUUAUGUUUGCGGCGGGCGGGGGAGUAAACCGUUGAUAACCUACCUAUUAGGCCGGGGUAACCUUGGGAAACCGGAGCUUAUACCGGAAUAUUAUUUUAACCGGCAGGGUUCAAAGGUAAAGGCGGGUUUUGCUGUCCCUAUUGGUGGAACCGCGCUGCAUUAGCUAGUUGGUAAGGUAACGGCUUACCAAGGCAACGAUGCAUAGCCGACCUGAGAGGGUGAUCGGCCACACUGGAACUGAGACACGGUCCAGACUCCUACGGGAGGCAGCAGUAGGGAAUCUUCCGCAAUGGGCGAAAGCCUGACGGAGCAACGCCGCGUGAGUGAUGAAGGUCUUCGGAUCGUAAAACUCUGUUAUUAGGGAAGAACAUAUGUGUAAGUAACUGUGCACAUCUUGACGGUACCUAAUCAGAAAGCCACGGCUAACUACGUG